This 498-nucleotide ribosomal RNA is filed under the name uncultured bacterium. RNAcentral's name for it is "partial 16S ribosomal RNA". It matches the Rfam family "Bacterial small subunit ribosomal RNA", at positions 28 to 507 of the family's 1533-position model. The record is from RNAcentral.
GACGAACGCUGGCGGCGUGCCUAAUACAUGCAAGUUGAGCGAUGAAGAUUGGUGCUUGCACCAAUUUGAAGAGCAGCGAACGGGUGAGUAACGCGUGGGGAAUCUGCCUUUGAGCGGGGGACAACAUUUGGGAAACGAAUGCUAAUACCGCAUAACAACUUUAAACAUAAGUUUUAAGUUUGAAAGAUGCAAUUGCAUCACUCAAAGAUGAUCCCGCGUUGUAUUAGCUAGUUGGUGAGGUAAAGGCUCACCAAGGCGAUGAUACAUAGCCGACCUGAGAGGGUGAUCGGCCACAUUGGGACUGAGACACGGCCCAAACUCCUACGGGAGGCAGCAGUAGGGAAUCUUCGGCAAUAGACGAAAGUCUGACCGAGCAACGCCGCGUGAGUGAAGAAGGUUUUCGGAUCGUAAAACUCUGUUGGUAGAGAAGAACGUUGGUGAGAGUGGAAAGCUCAUCAAGUGACGGUAACUACCCAGAAAGGGACGGCUAACUACGUG